This is a long non-coding RNA of Ostrea edulis (European flat oyster), 194 nucleotides long. RefSeq lists it as uncharacterized. The record is from RefSeq and is a predicted model, not a curated record. NCBI's taxonomy places the organism in Eukaryota, Metazoa, Mollusca, Bivalvia, Ostreida, Ostreidae. The transcript is spliced from 3 exons.
CCUUGGUAUGGAAAAACGAUUGCUGCAACCACUGGCAACACAGAAUAUGCGAUACCGGAAUUUCUGUGCGUGCGUACAGAGAGAUGAUCAGGUCAGAUGUUACAAUUCACUUCACCUGCACCAGAUGCAAGAGAAGCCAAGAAGAAACAAUCAGUGGUCCAAGGGAUUCAACUCAUAUAGUCUUUGGACACAAC